RNAcentral lists this small RNA (2351 nucleotides) under Pongo abelii (Sumatran orangutan). Its description in RNAcentral is "retained intron". Lineage: Eukaryota; Metazoa; Chordata; Mammalia; Primates; Hominidae. The record is from RNAcentral.
GGCACUGCCAGGGCAAAGCUGUGGAGGUGGGAAAGAGCAAGAAAAGUUCCAGAGACAGUGAGGGAACCAGCUUGGAUUGCAGAGGUCAGCUGAGAUGUUAUCUCCCCCAGAGAUUCUUACCAGAUGGCCAAGCCCAGAGAAUAUUCUGAAUCCCCCAGAGGGUUUCUUAAAAUGCAGUUUCCAGGGCCUCACCCUAGAACUAAUAACUCAGCCUCACAGAGCCGGGGGUUGGGGGGCAGGGAAGCUGCAUCAACGUGAUGCGAUGUGACAAGGCUCUGGACCACAGGGUGAUUCAGCCCCAUAUCAGCGCUCAGGAAUUCCCAGGCCAGUGGGGAGCGGGGGCGGGGGCGGGGACAAACAGGGAAGCGCACAGUAAGGGAGAAUGUGGGGACUCAGAGCAGGAGCCUUUGGAGUCAGAGAAGUUUUCCAGAAGGGACAUCUAAGCAGAGCCCGGCUAGGCAAAGUGAACUGCCAUGGCGAGGGCCUGGAGACUUCCAGAAGCAUGAUAACUGCUCUUAAUUGUUCAACCCUCACCAGGAGGUAAGGCCUGUGAGGUGGGUGCUAUUAGGGUCCCCAUUCUACAGAUGAGGAAACUGAAGCCCAGGAAGUCUCCUGGCUCGCCAGCAGGGCAGCUGGAGGUUGCUGACCUCUGAGGGAGGCCCCAGCCAAGGCGGGAGCUAAGUGGGCGCCCCCUCCUCUCCCCUCUCAGGCCCAGUACCGCCGAGGCCUGGAGCUGUCCAAGCAGGCCGCUCAGCUGGGAGCUACAGCCGGAGGGGCUGGAGAGGCAGAAGGUGCAGAGUUCCCAGAGCUGGCAGCCUUUGCCUCUACCCAGCGGGUCUUCCAGGCAAAGCUGACCCACUUUUACAUGGCGGCCGAGCGGCAACGCACUGACCUUGAGACGCUGCUCCACCUGCACCGCUUCUGCAAGAGGUCUCGUAACAGGAAAAAAACAGUGGGAAGGGGAAGAGCUGAGAUUUGAGCAUAGAUGUCCCCGUGGUGCCCCGUGACAUGCCUUAUGUGCUUCCCCAAAGAGAGAAGAAAUGACGACAGAUCCCUUCACCAAGCAGGCUUGACCAUGAUGACCUGGUUCCACAUGGACUGUCAGGACCUGAUGGCCCAGCUCAGGCUGGACAAGACCUCAAGGGUCAGUCCUGGGGACCAGCGCCGCCUCCACCGCUACCUGCAGCGACUGGCAUCUGAGUUCCCUGCUGAGAAGCUCGCAGCCGUGGGGCUGCAGGUGGCCUCCCUGAGCCAGGCAGGCCUGGGCCAGGAGCUGUGGGAGGAGGCCCGGAUCAGGCAUGAGGAGAUCCGGAUGCUCCUGGAGAAGGCACUGACCCACAGCUCUUGCCCAGAGGCUCCAGCUGCUCACUCGGCAUGCCCAGAACGAAGAGGGGUGGCGGCCAAGGGCCAAGGUCUGAGUGUAGAGGUCACUUCCAAGGGGAGGUGGGACCAGCUUCCACUAGACUCACUGGGCAUGGACCAUUUGCCAAAGUCCUAUUGGCCUCCUGGGCCCCCCAGAGGGGAACAGAACAGAACUUUCCAGGCAGGCUCUCCACCCCAGGAAGCUGGCCGGGCUGCAGAGGCUGAAGACGGCAAAGGCUCCCACAAGCUCCCUGACCCUGCCUGCGAGCAUUUGCUUGCCACUACCUUCUUCCGGCAGCAGCCCCCCAGGCAGAGCCAAGUCCCUCGCCUCACUGGGGGCAGCUUCUCCUCAGAGGGGACAGACUCGCAGACAUCCCUUGAGGACUCACCCCAGACAAGUCCCCUUGCCUCCCUCUAGCUGAGAGCCCCCUUCAGUGGCACCAGCCUCCAGGAGCACUGGGAUGGGGCCCAGCUGGAGGGGUAGCUGGGAGCUCUGGUCAGUCCCAGUGAGACGUCGCCAUGGAGCACUGGUUUUACGUUCUGCCUCUGCUGGGAGGAUGGGAACUGUUGACCUGCCCCCUGGCUCCAGAAAACUCCUGGAAGACCCGAUCCUCACCCAUGCAGAAUAGCGAGAGUGGGUGUCAGAACCAGGGCACAAUGAAGGGUGUGAUUGGCUCCAUCCCUCCAGGCUCUCAUUGUGGAAAGACCUGUCAGCACAGACCCCUCCAGAGGUCUCCCUCGCAGGCAGGCAGACACCCACCUGCAGCUCAGGAACAUACACAGCUCUCCCCUCGGGCACGAGGGCCAGUGUUGCCCUUAUACAGAAUCCUUGGGGAGAUUCGGGAGUGCUUCCUUGUCUUGGAUUCCAGGAAAAUGGACCCUGAGAUGAGGAUUUAAGGAUCAGUGUGUUUGGUGCUGAUCCAGGAACCUCAGCUGGGGGAGUAGGAGGUGAAUCUGCAAAGGGAAUAAAGAGUAUGUUGUCAAGCAAA